RNAcentral lists this transfer RNA (64 nucleotides) under Dociostaurus kraussi kraussi. Its description in RNAcentral is "tRNA-Phe". It matches the Rfam family "tRNA". From Rfam's summary of the family: Transfer RNA (tRNA) molecules are approximately 80 nucleotides in length. Lineage: Eukaryota; Metazoa; Arthropoda; Insecta; Orthoptera; Acrididae. The record is from RNAcentral.
ACCUAAAUAGCUUAUGUUAGAGCAUAACACUGAAGAUGUUAAGGAAAUAAUUUAUUUUUAGGUA